RNAcentral lists this ribosomal RNA (464 nucleotides) under uncultured bacterium. Its description in RNAcentral is "partial 16S ribosomal RNA". It matches the Rfam family "Bacterial small subunit ribosomal RNA", at positions 28 to 506 of the family's 1533-position model. The record is from RNAcentral.
GACGAACGCUGGCGGCGUGCUUAACACAUGCAAGUCGAACGGAAAGGCCCUGCUUGCAGGGUACUCGAGUGGCGAACGGGUGAGUAACACGUGGGUGAUCUGCCCUGCACUUCGGGAUAAGCCUGGGAAACUGGGUCUAAUACUGGAUAGGAGCCAUUUUUAGUGUGAUGGUUGGAACGUUUUUUCGGUGUAGGAUGAGCUCGCGGCCUAUCAGCUUGUUGGUGGGGUAAUGGCCUACCAAGGCGGCGACGGGUAGCCGGCCUGGGAGGGUGGACGGCCACAUUGGGACUGAGAUACGGCCCAGACUCCUACGGGAGGCAGCAGUGGGGAAUAGUGCACAAUGGGCGCAAGCCUGAUGCAGCGACGCCGCGUGGGGGAUGACGGCCUUCGGGUUGUAAACUCCCUUCGCUAGGGACGAAGCUUUUUGUGACGGUACCUAGAUAAGAAGCACCGGCUAACUACGU